UGGGAAUCUACCUAGUUCUACGGAACAACACAGGGAAACUUGUGCUAAUACCGUAUACGCCCUACGGGGGAAAGAUUUAUCGGAAUUAGAUGAGCCCGCGUAAGAUUAGCUAGUUGGUGGGGUAAUGGCCUACCAAGGCGACGAUCUUUAGCUGGUCUGAGAGGACGACCAGCCACACUGGGACUGAGACACGGCCCAGACUCCUACGGGAGGCAGCAGUGGGGAAUUUUGGACAAUGGGCGCAAGCCUGAUCCAGCAAUGCCGCGUGCAGGAUGAAGGCCUUCGGGUUGUAAACUGCUUUUGUACGGAACGAAAAGGCUCUGGUUAAUACCUGGGGCUCAUGACGGUACCGUAAGAAUAAGCACCGGCUAACUACGUGCCAGCAGCCGCGGUAAUACGUAGGGUGCGAGCGUUAAUCGGAAUUACUGGGCGUAAAGCGUGCGCAGGCGGUGAUGUAAGACAGUUGUGAAAUCCCCGGGCUCAACCUGGGAACUGCAUCUGUGACUGCAUCGCUGGAGUGCGGCAGAGGGGGAUGGAAUUCCGCGUGUAGCAGUGAAAUGCGUAGAUAUGCGGAGGAACACCGAUGGCGAA
RNAcentral lists this ribosomal RNA (591 nucleotides) under proteobacterium enrichment culture clone E211. RNAcentral's name for it is "bacterial SSU rRNA". It matches the Rfam family "Bacterial small subunit ribosomal RNA", at positions 118 to 719 of the family's 1533-position model. Lineage: Bacteria; Pseudomonadati; Pseudomonadota. The record is from RNAcentral.